Molecule: transfer RNA, 77 nt
Filed under: Alteromonas pelagimontana
Lineage: Bacteria; Pseudomonadati; Pseudomonadota; Gammaproteobacteria; Alteromonadales; Alteromonadaceae
Description: tRNA-Ile
Rfam family: tRNA
About the family: Transfer RNA (tRNA) molecules are approximately 80 nucleotides in length. Their secondary structure includes four short double-helical elements and three loops (D, anti-codon, and T loops).
Source: RNAcentral
GGCCCCAUAGCUCAGUUGGUUAGAGCAUCCGACUCAUAAUCGGCAGGUCGCAAGUUCGAGUCUUGCUGGGGCCACCA